RNAcentral lists this non-coding RNA (19 nucleotides) under Arabidopsis thaliana (thale cress). Lineage: Eukaryota; Viridiplantae; Streptophyta; Magnoliopsida; Brassicales; Brassicaceae. The record is from RNAcentral.
ACCGAUGUGCUUACAUGGG